AUUUGUGCUUGAGCGGUUGGCAAAUUUUCCGAAAUGUACCCGGACAUCUUUAGCUUGAUUUUAAUCGGUCAGCUUGAACUGCAGCUAUAUACUAAGAAUCUUGGAAAAGGUAGCAGAAGUGUUUUGGAGAGCCUACUUUUACUGACGAACACAUCUGAACACAAUUUGGUUAUUGUUUUGGGUAUAAAGCGUGUGAGGGCUUGGCAUGUAUAGAUAGACGUGAUUUUUUUGCAAAAUCGAUAACCAAUAAAGGUCGCAAUGGAGACGCAUCCUUACUGGUGACGAGACGUGGAUAUAUGAAUAGGACGUCGAGACUGUCGAACAAUCUAGCGAAUUGCGCUUCAAAAAUUAGUCGAUACCGACCUGAAUUUUUUGCCAAAACGACAUAUAAAACCAAAAUUCGAAGGCACUGAAUAGAAUGGUAUCAGAUGAUCAGCACAUAUUUGAACUAUUUUUCACCGACUUACAAACAACCGUUAUGUGAACAAAACUAUAAUACUCUCCUUAGCAACUUUGUUGCGAGAGUAUAAAAACAGGCUGAGCUUUUGGG
Bactrocera neohumeralis is the source of this 550-nucleotide long non-coding RNA. RefSeq lists it as uncharacterized. The record is from RefSeq and is a predicted model, not a curated record. Lineage: Eukaryota; Metazoa; Arthropoda; Insecta; Diptera; Tephritidae. The transcript has 3 exons.